RNAcentral lists this ribosomal RNA (229 nucleotides) under uncultured bacterium. Its description in RNAcentral is "partial 16S ribosomal RNA". It matches the Rfam family "Bacterial small subunit ribosomal RNA", at positions 568 to 796 of the family's 1533-position model. The record is from RNAcentral.
UGCGCAGGCGGAACUUUAAGUCAGUGGUGAAAUCUUGCCGCUUAACGGUAAAAUUGCCAUUGAUACUGAAGUUCUUGAAUAUGGUUGAGGUAGGCGGAAUGUGUUGUGUAGCGGUGAAAUGCAUAGAUAUGACACAGAACUCCGAUUGCGAAGGCAGCUUACUAAACCAUUAUUGACGCUGAGGCACGAAAACGUGGGGAGCGAACAGGAUUAGAUACCCUGGUAGUCC